GAUGAACGCUGGCGGCAUGCUUUACACAUGCAAGUCGAACGGCAGCACAGGGAGCUUGCUCCCGGGUGGCGAGUGGCGCACGGGUGAGUAAUACAUCGGAACGUGUCCUGUUGUGGGGGAUAACUGCUCGAAAGGGUGGCUAAUACCGCAUGAGACCUGAGGGUGAAAGCGGGGGAUCGCAAGACCUCGCGCAAUUGGAGCGGCCGAUGCCCGAUUAGCUAGUUGGUGAGGUAAAGGCUCACCAAGGCGACGAUCGGUAGCUGGUCUGAGAGGACGACCAGCCACACUGGGACUGAGACACGGCCCAGACUCCUACGGGAGGCAGCAGUGGGGAAUUUUGGACAAUGGGGGCAACCCUGAUCCAGCCAUGCCGCGUGCAGGAUGAAGGCCUUCGGGUUGUAAACUGCUUUGUCAGGGACGAAAAGGAAUCGUGAUAAUACCAAUGGUCUGCUGACGGUACCUGAAGAAUAAG
This 472-nucleotide ribosomal RNA is filed under the name uncultured bacterium. RNAcentral describes it as "bacterial SSU rRNA". It matches the Rfam family "Bacterial small subunit ribosomal RNA", at positions 28 to 490 of the family's 1533-position model. The record is from RNAcentral.